Molecule: transfer RNA, 72 nt
Filed under: Listeria monocytogenes
Lineage: Bacteria; Bacillati; Bacillota; Bacilli; Caryophanales; Listeriaceae
Description: tRNA-Gly
Rfam family: tRNA
About the family: Transfer RNA (tRNA) molecules are approximately 80 nucleotides in length. Their secondary structure includes four short double-helical elements and three loops (D, anti-codon, and T loops).
Source: RNAcentral
GCGGAAGUAGUUCAGUUGUAGAACAUCACCUUGCCAAGGUGGGGGUCGCGGGUUCGAACCCCGUCUUCCGCU